This 253-nucleotide ribosomal RNA is filed under the name uncultured bacterium. RNAcentral describes it as "partial 16S ribosomal RNA". It matches the Rfam family "Bacterial small subunit ribosomal RNA", at positions 524 to 776 of the family's 1533-position model. The record is from RNAcentral.
UACAGAGGGUGCGAGCGUUGUCCGGAAUUACUGGGCGUAAAGGGCGCGUAGGCGGCUUGGCAAGUCGGGGGUGAAAGUCAGCGGCUCAACCGCUGGACUGCCUUCGAGACUGCCUGGCUUGAGCAUGGUAGAGGCUGGCGGAAUUCCCGGUGUAGCGGUGGAAUGCGUAGAGAUCGGGAAGAACAUCGGUGGCGAAGGCGGCCAGCUGGGCCGUUGCUGACGCUGAUGCGCGACAGCGUGGGGAGCAAACAGG